UACUCUCACACUCUCUGAUCCUUUGGAUUCAGGAAGUGGUGGACUUGGGUGUUUGCUGCUUUCCUUGUGGCUCACCUCAAAUGCGUCAGUGCACCUCUUGGUUGGACAUAGUACGGCGUGAUAAGUAUCUUCGCCGGCACCUCGUGAGAGGGUGGCCGAUCGGGAGCUCUGUGCUUUCAAACCGUCUUCGGACAAUCUCUGACAAC
Molecule: unclassified non-coding RNA, 206 nt
Filed under: uncultured Sebacina
Lineage: Eukaryota; Fungi; Basidiomycota; Agaricomycetes; Sebacinales; Sebacinaceae
Description: sequence contains ITS2
Source: RNAcentral